UACGUAGGGUGCGAGCGUUAAUCGGAAUUACUGGGCGUAAAGCGUGCGCAGGCGGUUUUGUAAGCCAGAUGUGAAAUCCCCGGGCUUAACCUGGGAAUGGCAUUUGGGACUGCAAGGCUCGAGUGCGGCAGAGGAGACUGGAAUUCCUGGUGUAGCAGUGAAAUGCGUAGAUAUCAGGAGGAACAUCGAUGGCGAAGGCAGGUCUCUGGGCUGACACUGACGCUCAUGCACGAAAGCGUGGGGAGCAAACGGG
Molecule: ribosomal RNA, 253 nt
Filed under: uncultured bacterium
Lineage: Bacteria
Description: partial 16S ribosomal RNA
Rfam family: Bacterial small subunit ribosomal RNA
Source: RNAcentral